RNAcentral lists this long non-coding RNA (1742 nucleotides) under Homo sapiens (human). RNAcentral's name for it is "HSALNT0316229". Lineage: Eukaryota; Metazoa; Chordata; Mammalia; Primates; Hominidae. The record is from RNAcentral.
CUCUAUCCUAACAAAUACAUUUUUUGAUGUGGGUGUAAACCUAAUUUCCCUGUGCAUAAUGCUAGUGCCUCUGGAGUGUGCAGAGCUGGCUGGAAUGUGCUCUAAGUGGUUUGGGAAUAAAGGCUUUUCUUGUCAUUAUUUGCAGUCUGUAGUAUUCAGCUGCCAACCCAUGCCAUAUUAUUUGUGUGAUGCUUGGUGACAGUCUGUGUUGAGUUUUAGCUAUGAUUUUUGACAUAAUUUAAUGAGCUGGAAUGCCAUUUUCCCCUGUAAGAAAUAUGUACAUAUUUUCAAUGCCAGUGAAAAGUUGUUUAUUUUAUACAUGUAUUAUUUUUCUGAAUCCAGAAUGUCUACUCUUAACAAAUAUUAACAUUAUAUGUUCAGUAUGUAAAAUGUACUUUUUUCCCCACUCGCAUUUAUGAGAGGUUUAGUCUUCAGUAUAAUUGAAGGAAGAAAAUGUACCUACCUGGUUGCACAAGGGUUUGCUUCUUUCCUACUCUUCCUAAUUAGCUUUUAACAAGCUGUCAAUCUUCCACUCUAUAUGUUGCAUUUGUAAAGAAAGGACAAGGAUGAGUUGCAAUCUCCCUGUGAAAAUAGACUGUGCUUCUUAAGGCAGGUAUCUCCAGGCUGUCAGGGUAGGGCUUAGCCCUACAACUUUGAGUCAAAUACAAUAUGAUUUUUGCCUGGUGCCAUAAACUGAUGCUGAGCAUAUGUUUAUGUGUCUGUGCCAUCUGCCCUUUUCCUUAGAGAUGUCAUCAGCUUUUUCCUCACAGACUCACUUUAACACAACAGGAAAAGGCCCACCUAAUACUUUUCCUUUUGUUAAAUUAGAGUUUAGAAAUGCAAAUUAUUUUUUUCUAAUAAAAGAAGUAAUACACGUUCAGUGUGAAGGAUGUAAUUCACAAAAAUUUACCCAAUAAACCAAAAUCACUUCUUAAUCAAUCAUGCAGAGAUAACCAAUUUAAUAUUUUAAUGCAUUUCUUUGGGCAUUUAGAUAAUGAUUUGUGUUUGGUUGUGUGUGUGUGUAUGUGUGUGUGUACAAAUAUUUGUUUUCUUCAUAGGAAGGUUGCAUUUUACAUAUUAUUUUUGUAGCAUGUAUUUUUAUUUAGCAAUAGUUUAUGAACAUUUCCUUUGUCAAUAGUAUUGUUUACAGCACUAUUUUUAAUAUCACUCUAGCAUGAGGCAAUACAGUAAUUUACUUAACCCUCUAUUAAUGGAUGUUUAGGUUAUUUUUCAGUUUUUGCUGUUCAUAAAUUAUCUCUGUGCGGUUCACCUCAUGUUUUUAGUAUAGAUACCUAGCCAUGAUAUUAUUGGAUCAAACACUAUGUACAUGUUGGAUCUUUUAUAUCGAUUGCAAACUGCCCUACCGAAAGAUUAACUCAUCUUGUACUUCCGCUAGCAGAGAAUGAAAGUCUCUUCCUAUUCACUGUCCUCUACUCAGUGGGACUCUCAUUAUCUUUAACCAUUGCCAAUAUGUCCAUUGAAAUAUGGAAUCUUGUUUCUUUAAUUUACACUGGGUAUGUUAGUUAAAUUCUCCAAAUUUUAAUUUCUUUAUUUAUAUAAUGAGAUUAUUUACCUCAGAGCCUAAUGUGAGAAUUAAAUGAAAUAAGAAAUGUCAAGCACAUAGCACAGGGUCAAGAACACAAGGCAUGUAACUAAGCUGUUAGCUGUUGAUUUUAUCAUUACGGCAGAGACAAUGCCAGAUUAUCCAACAUGUGUUUUGUUGAUUUGCAAGACCUGACUUU